GGACAGCCAUCGCCGAGUCCCCGUACGGCGCGAGCCAGGGGAGCCGGGGACCCACGCAGUCCCUGGGGUGAAUCGGGCGCCCGCGCGAGCCGCGAGGGGGCCCGUAGGAGACCUUCCUGCUCCGAACCCGUCAGCUAACCCGGUAGGCGAGAGGGAAGGAAAGG
Molecule: small RNA, 164 nt
Filed under: Streptomyces incarnatus
Lineage: Bacteria; Bacillati; Actinomycetota; Actinomycetes; Kitasatosporales; Streptomycetaceae
Description: c-di-AMP sequence
Rfam family: c-di-AMP riboswitch aptamer (ydaO/yuaA leader)
About the family: This family represents a conserved RNA structure found upstream of the ydaO and yuaA genes in Bacillus subtilis and related genes in other bacteria.
Source: RNAcentral